Molecule: ribosomal RNA, 510 nt
Filed under: uncultured Glomus
Lineage: Eukaryota; Fungi; Glomeromycota; Glomeromycetes; Glomerales; Glomeraceae
Description: SSU rRNA
Rfam family: Eukaryotic small subunit ribosomal RNA
Source: RNAcentral
AGCAGCCGCGGUAAUUCCAGCUCCAAUAGCGUAUAUUAAAGUUGUUGCAGUUAAAAAGCUCGUAGUUGAAUUUCGGGGUCAGUAGGUCGGUCAUGCCACUGGUAUGUACUGGUCUCACUGAUUCCUCCUUCCUGAUGAGCCGUAAUGCCAUUAAUUUGGUGUUGCGAGGAAUCUGGACUGUUACUUUGAAAAAUUAGAGUGUUUAAAGCAGGCUAACGCUUGAAUACAUUAGCAUGGAAUAAUGAAAUAGGACGUUCGAUCUUAUUUUGUUGGUUUCUAAGAUUGACGUAAUGAUUAAUAGGGAUAGUUGGGGGCAUUAGUAUUCAAUUGUCAGAGGUGAAAUUCUUGGAUUUAUUGAAGACUAACUACUGCGAAAGCAUUUGCCAAGGAUGUUUUCAUUAAUCAAGAACGAAAGUUAGGGGAUCGAAGACGAUCAGAUACCGUCGUAGUCUUAACCGUAAACUAUGCCGACUAGGGAUCGGAUGAUGUUAAUUUUUUAAUGACUCAUUC